RNAcentral lists this ribosomal RNA (466 nucleotides) under uncultured bacterium. RNAcentral describes it as "partial 16S ribosomal RNA". It matches the Rfam family "Bacterial small subunit ribosomal RNA", at positions 28 to 523 of the family's 1533-position model. The record is from RNAcentral.
GAUGAACGCUGGCGGCGUGCCUAACACAUGCAAGUCGAGCGAACCUUUCGGGGUGAGCGGCGGACGGGUGAGUAACGCGUGGGUAACCUGCCCUAUACACACGGAUAACGUACCGAAAGGUACGCUAAUACGGGAUAAAGUUGUUGGAUGGCAUCUUCUAACAAUCAAAGCUCCGGCGGUAUAGGAUGGACCCGCGUCUGAUUAGCUAGUUGGUGAGGUAAUGGCUCACCAAGGCGACGAUCAGUAGCCGACCUGAGAGGGUGAUCGGCCACACUGGAACUGAGACACGGUCCAGAAUCCUACGGGAGGCCGCAGUGGGGAAUAUUGCACAGUGGGCGAAAGCCUGAUGCAGCAACGCCUCGUGAGCGAUGAAGGUCUGCGGAUCGUAAAGAUCUGGCCUCAAGGAAGAUAAUGACGGUACUUGAGGAGGAAGCCCCGGCUAACCACGUGCCAGCCGCCGCGGUAA